AGAGUUUGAUCCUGGCUCAGAUUGAACGCUGGCGGCAUGCCUUACACAUGCAAGUCGAACGGCAGCACGGAGCUUGCUCUGGUGGCGAGUGGCGAACGGGUGAGUAAUAUAUCGGAACGUACCCUAGAGUGGGGGAUAACGUAGCGAAAGUUACGCUAAUACCGCAUACGAUCUAAGGAUGAAAGUGGGGGAUCGCAAGACCUCAUGCUCGUGGAGCGGCCGAUAUCUGAUUAGCUAGUUGGUAGGGCAAAAGCCUACCAAGGCAUCGAUCAGUAGCUGGUCUGAGAGGACGACCAGCCACACUGGAGCUGAGACACGGUCCAGACUCCUACGGGAGGCAGUAGUGGGGAAUUUUGGACAAUGGGCGAAAGCCUGAUCCAGCAAUGCCGCGUGAGUGAAGAAGGCCUUCGGGUUGUAAAGCUCUUUUGUCAGGGAAGAAACGGUGAAGGCUAAUAUCCUUUGCUAAUGACGGUACCUGAAGAAUAAGCACCGGCUAACUACGUGCCAGCAGCCGCGGUAAUACGUAGGGUGCAAGCGUUAAUCGGAAUUACUGGGCGUAAAGCGUGCGCAGGCGGUUUUGUAAGUCUGAUGUGAAAUCCCCGGGCUCAACCUGGGAAUUGCAUUGGAGACUGCAAGGCUAGAAUCUGGCAGAGGGGGGUAGAAUUCCACGUGUAGCAGUGAAAUGCGUAGAUAUGUGGAGGAACACCGAUGGCGAAAGCAGCCCCCUGGGUCAAGAUUGACGCUCAUGCACGAAAGCGUGGGGAGCAAACAGGAUUAGAUACCCUGGUAGUCCACGCCCUAAACGAUGUCUACUAGUUGUCGGGU
Molecule: ribosomal RNA, 825 nt
Filed under: uncultured bacterium
Lineage: Bacteria
Description: bacterial SSU rRNA
Rfam family: Bacterial small subunit ribosomal RNA
Source: RNAcentral